GAGACACGUGCGGCAGAGCUAAGCGGGCUACGCGCUCAAUUUUUAAUGCAAAUCCUUGAACUUCGUAUCGUACGUAUACGUAAGGUUUGUAUUCGACGUUUCACCGCGCGCCGAAGCGCAUACACGCAGGAUUAUUUUCGGGCCUCGGACGCGGUCGUUAACGAGAGGUGGUUUCUUUCCUUAUUUACAUUUUUUUAGAAAGAAAGAAAAUAUUUAUACCUUACAUACGCUGCUGCUGCACGCGUGCAACCUGCACAGCUAUAUAACGUCAAAUCAAUGAAACGUGGGGGAGAAUAUAAGUAUGGAGAAAGUAUGCUGCUGCUGCGCGCGUCACGUCAGAAAUAACAAUGUAAACAAUAGUGGAUAGAUAGAUACACACUCGGCUUGAGAAACAAAUGAGUCUCUCGAGGAAAAGUGCGGCGCGCGGCACUGGCCUGCUGCAGAUGAAAGUUUUUCGUCCUCUCUCUCUGUCACGCACACACACACACCGAUCAUCGAUCGGCAUUCGCGAUAGUUGAUAAUUUAGUUUAUUAGUUCCCUCCGUACGUCGCCAUGUCCACGAGAAAAAGUCAGUAUCGCGUGCGUAAGAUUUAUACACACAUAUAAUAUUAAUAUUUGAAAUAUAAUUUCGAUGCGACAUUUAUUGAGCUUAUAAAUCGCGAUUAUAAAUGGAAUUAUAACGUCUAUACGAUUAAAAUCUGCCACUGCUGCGGUAUUGCCGCGCUGCGUUAAUAAUACGUUAUAUAUAUUUUAUAUAGUUUCGUUAACCGAUACAUAUAUAAUCAAUCGUCGAUUAUACAGUACGUCAUCGCGAUGAAAUGAUUAUGAAGGAAAGUCUCGCGCAGUGAUCGCGAUGACGCAUUUAUAAACGCGAGACGCCGAUUUUUCUGCAUCAAGGUUCUCAAUUCGCAGCAAAGAGAGAUAGAUCCAAGAAGCGAUAGAGACGGCGGCGGCGAAUUAUAGAAAAACAAACGCGGAAGAGAGGAGGCUAGCUUUACAACGUAUGUACGGCCGAGCGAGCGAGGAGAGAAUGAAACAUCGAUUCGGAAACUUUUCAGCGUAUUAUACGUACGCUUCGUGUCGAUAUAUUAUAACGUUUUUCGGCAACACAGAGCUCGGAGUGGAAGAAGAAGUUGAAGAAGGCGAGGAGGAGCAGCAGCAGUCUGGCAGUCCGACAAAGGCCAUUGAGCUUGCCUUCUGCCAACUCGUGUGUGUGUAUAAAAGCUCUCUCUGUCUCUCUUGCGACGCGGCGGCCGAUAUCACAUGUGUGUGUGCGCUGUUGUAAAUGUGUCGGUGCGAGCGCUACGUUUGCUCUAUAUAAGAGCGUGAAGUAUCGUAUGCUUUAGCUUUUUCUUCAUUCUACCGCGUAAUUUGCACACUUUAUCGUUUUCUUUCUCUCUCUCUCGAUCUCAAUCUCGAUCUAUCAAAGAGAGUUCGACCACAUUUUCGCCGUCUUAUGACGCAUGCAGGUCGAGUAUACGAACAGGAGGAGACGUCGCGACGCCCCUGGAUCAGCGCACCCCGGUAUUUGCCCAAGAGCUUGCAAGCUCGAAGUACCAUCGUCGUCGCAGCUUCCAGACGUGUCUCUCGAUGACUAUGUACUUGGUUGAUUCUACGUGCACCUUUGUGAUCGUGUUUAUCUUUUUCGUUUUUCUGCUUCUUCUAAUGUAUUUAUAAUGUUUUCAUAUAAUGUUUUAAAAUGUUUGAAUCUUUAUGGAUGUUUUCUGUAAGGCUAUACAGGACGAUUAAGUCUUUAGCCUCAUAAUAAAUCUAUCUACAUCAAGUUCAGCCCUCUC
Long non-coding RNA from Trichogramma pretiosum, 1796 nucleotides. RefSeq lists it as uncharacterized. The transcript is spliced from 2 exons. The record is from RefSeq and is a predicted model, not a curated record. Lineage: Eukaryota; Metazoa; Arthropoda; Insecta; Hymenoptera; Trichogrammatidae.